GAACAUAACCCUUUUUUCUUUCAUUGGUGCAGAUGGAACUGAUACAACAUAAGCUCUCUUUUUUUUCCCUUCUUCUUAUCAUUACAACAUUACAGCUUUCUACGCCCUUAAAAUACUUGUAUGUUUCAUCUAUAUAUAUUUUCUUGCUAAACAAAGAAAAUAAAAAAAAAGUAAAAAGUAAAAGUAAAAUAGGAUGCAUCAUAGGUGGAAAAGCUAGCUUUUGCUUUGCCAAUCUGGUCUUCCUAAGGAAAACUCCAAACUUGGAGUCUCAAGUAAUUGAUUACAGAGUAAUCUAAAGGUUCUUGAUUGAGCUAAAUCACUUUCCUCGAAUUGGUUUUCGGAUGCUUGUUGAGAUGAUAGGUUUUCUGGUCGUCUAAGCCCUUCCAGAUUCCUUGAACCGCUAUGCAGCCAUCUUUCUCUGCUGCAAAAAAUCCCAAAUAAUAAUCAGUUACUAUCUCUUCUUCAAUUUCUUAUCAACUUUCUGUUGCACCAAAUAAUAAUAUGUGUAAGGUAGUGUUUUUUUUCAAUAACAACUCAACAGCAACGCCAAACGAAUCUUAAAAAGUAAGUUGUAUAUCAAAAUAAGUUAAGUUUGAAAAGCUUAAGAUAGCAAAAAAGAUCAUAUCAUCCUUUUGCACUGGCAUUUCUACAGAUCCUACUUACUAUAUAAUGAUUUAAUGGUAGGAAACAGCAUGCUAGAGCUUGCUUUUGAAGGGUUCUAGUUAAAGCAAGCAUUGGGAUAUGAUGCUUUGUUUCAGAAAUUAUGUACUUAAAGAGUUAUAUGUGGGGUUUAAUUAGAAUAUUACAAAAAUAUAGUAACUUGAUGGUUUUACAAGUUUGAUAUGUUGGACUAAUGCAAUUAUUGAAAUAUGAUUCUUUUUUUCUUGGUUCACAAGUGAUCGCAGAAACCUGUAAAACACCAGAGGUUAGAAGAGAAGAAGAAGAUAGUUCUAUGUUUUGCUUCCAUUUUGAUAAAAGAGGAAAAUAUUUCCACCUGCCUGUUACAUGCCCUAGUGCUCUACUUCAGUCACUGAAUGUGGUGGCUUCGUAUUUCUUGACAAGAAGGUGUUGAUUUCCAAGAAAAUUUUGCUAUGAUUUCCAGCUAGGCAAUAUGGAAAGCACGCAGUGAUAGAGUUUUUAAGCAGAAGGAUGUUCUAGAUUCUCAGGUGGAAAGUAAAUCCAAAAGUUUCAAAAUUUUCUUCUAAAAUUAUAUACUCUUUUAUAUAAACAUUUGUGGAGUAAUUCAUUAUUUGUUGAAGAUGAAAAUAUCUAUCAUCUUGAGUUUUUCUGAGCUCUUAUUCAUUUGUGUAUGUUCCUAGAAAUACCAAUAAGAUAACUCAUUUAGUGAAUAGAUUGUAUCAUAAAAGCUUGGUAUUAAAUUCAAUUAGAUUUUUU
RNAcentral lists this unclassified non-coding RNA (1395 nucleotides) under Hevea brasiliensis (rubber tree). Lineage: Eukaryota; Viridiplantae; Streptophyta; Magnoliopsida; Malpighiales; Euphorbiaceae. The record is from RNAcentral.